Hyla sarda is the source of this 630-nucleotide long non-coding RNA. RefSeq lists it as uncharacterized. NCBI's taxonomy places the organism in Eukaryota, Metazoa, Chordata, Amphibia, Anura, Hylidae. The record is from RefSeq and is a predicted model, not a curated record. The transcript is spliced from 3 exons.
UUCCUUUCUACAGGUUUUGAUAAAUCUCCCCAUAAGACUCUGCUCCCUGGUUUAGACCUAAGCCAAAUCCUUGUUGGCCUUAUGACACUUACAUUUACCUACAGUGGCUGCCGAAAUGUUGACACCAUAUAUGCAAGAUAUAAUAAUAACAAAGCGAUGGUUACAUGAAGAGUGAAUAUAAAAAGUGAUGAGUGCUGCAUGAAGCGUGAUGACUAUUAUGAGGAGUAAUAUGUGUGAUGAGGGAUACGUCUUGGGUAACUAAGGUUCAAGACGUCUUUAAGUUCAACCUCUCAUGACUCCAAGGCCACAUGUACCAUUGACAAUAAAUGAAACUUCCUGGAACUCACCAAAUUCCAUCUUUCAUUCACCGAAACACGCCCUGUUUCUCUAUUUGCAUAAUGUAAAUAAAGUUUUCUUCUGCUUGCAAGUUUAGGAAAUACUGGCUCCAUCCUUAAUUUUAAUGUCCCUGAGCUAGUCGGUAGAGACUAUCUACUAUGAAGAUUGAUUCCAAACACUGCAAACACACAGAAGAGGCGAUCCUGCUCCCCUGUAUUUCCAUAGCACAAUCUCAGAAGCAGCAGCAGCAACAAGGAGGACAUUAUAGAGCAGUACUAAGCUCGGAAUCCAGCA